Molecule: long non-coding RNA, 363 nt
Organism: Eupeodes corollae
Lineage: Eukaryota; Metazoa; Arthropoda; Insecta; Diptera; Syrphidae
Exons: 3
Source: RefSeq, a predicted model, not a curated record
CUUUUCCGAGGAAUCUUCAGUGAAUUUUAUAUCUUUACAGCAAGUUCAGUUGAAUUUAGGUGUCAUGUACCGGAAUGCGAUGGCCCUAAUAGUACGUCAAGAACCAUGGACGGAGUUUUCAAUACCGACAACUUCUAGCGAUAUGUUCCAUUCAAUCGAAGUGCUGCACAAGACUUCUGCUUUAGCCAGAACUUAGAUCAAAGUUUUAGAAAGAGAUGUGGAAUGGAUUUUAUAUUUCAUGACAAGGUACAAGGAAGUGACAAUAUCCAAUGAUUAGUUUGGAAUUUAUUGCUCUGAAGAACUAAAAUUGUGAAUGAUUGGAACAAUAAACAACCUUGGCAAGUUCAUUGGAAUUGCUCUGGG